GGAUGUAGGGUGAUCUGACUGCAACAUCUGUCACCCCUAUUGAUCACCAGGGUUGAUUGGCUGAACUAGCUGGCCAGGCAGGUGUCCCCUUCCUCCCUUACCACUUGUACAUCCCUCCUGAAGCUGCACACUACUAGAUCAAAGAGGACAGCCACCCAUAGGAGGACUGUUCGCUUCAUCAGGGGUAUAGAAGUAGCUUUGCUCCCCUGCUGGAACCUCCAAAUAAGUUCUCAAAAUAAGUACAUGAAGCCAUGCCUAAAAUAAUGAAACUUUAAAUGAACUUCCUUU
RNAcentral lists this small nuclear RNA (288 nucleotides) under Octodon degus (degu). Its description in RNAcentral is "7SK RNA (ENSODEG00000022985.1)". It matches the Rfam family "7SK RNA". Rfam says of the family: 7SK was discovered as an abundant small nuclear RNA in the mid-70s but a possible function has only recently been suggested. Lineage: Eukaryota; Metazoa; Chordata; Mammalia; Rodentia; Octodontidae. The record is from Rfam by way of RNAcentral.